AUGACCCGGCCUCUCGUCUGUCUCUCACUGCUCUCCUUCUGCUCAGGCUCCCUGUCCCAGGCUGUGGUGACUCAGCCUCCCUCUGCGUCUGCCUCCCUGGGGAGCUCGGCCAGGCUCUCCUGCACCCUGAGCAGUGGGAACAGUGGUAAUACUGUUUAUUGGCACCAGCAGAGCCCAGGAAAGCCCCCUCGGUACCUCCUGUAUAUCUAUAGCAGUGGAGGUACAGGCAGGGCCGACGGGAUCCCUGAGCGCUUCUCUGGCUCCGGAUCUGGGACUAACCGAUUCCUGUCCAUCAGCAACGUCCAGCCUGAGGAUGAAGCCGAUUAUUUCUGUGGUUAUGCUUAUGGCAGUGGUAGUAGUUAUGGUUAUACACAGUGA
Non-coding RNA from Monodelphis domestica (gray short-tailed opossum), 378 nucleotides. The record is from the annotation of a RefSeq genome assembly. Lineage: Eukaryota; Metazoa; Chordata; Mammalia; Didelphimorphia; Didelphidae.